RNAcentral lists this non-coding RNA (20 nucleotides) under Mus musculus (house mouse). The record is from RNAcentral. Lineage: Eukaryota; Metazoa; Chordata; Mammalia; Rodentia; Muridae.
ACACCAGUGCUGUAAACCCU